AGUGAACGCUGGCGGUAGGCCUAACACAUGCAAGUCGAACGGCAGCACAGUAAGAGCUUGCUCUUACGGGUGGCGAGUGGCGGACGGGUGAGGAAUACAUCGGAAUCUACUUUUUCGUGGGGGAUAACGUAGGGAAACUUACGCUAAUACCGCAUACGACCUACGGGUGAAAGCAGGGGAUCUUCGGACCUUGCGCGAUUGAAUGAGCCGAUGUCGGAUUAGCUAGUUGGCGGGGUAAAGGCCCACCAAGGCGACGAUCCGUAGCUGGUCUGAGAGGAUGAUCAGCCACUCUGGAACUGAGACACGGUCCAGACUCCUACGGGAGGCAGCAGUGGGGAAUAUUGGACAAUGGGCGCAAGCCUGAUCCAGCCAUACCGCGUGGGUGAAGAAGGCCUUCGGGUUGUAAAGCCCUUUUGUUGGGAAAGAAAAGCAGCAGGUUAAUACCCCGCUGUUCCGACGGUACCCAAAGAAUAAGCACCGGCUAACUU
Molecule: ribosomal RNA, 488 nt
Filed under: uncultured bacterium
Lineage: Bacteria
Description: partial 16S ribosomal RNA
Rfam family: Bacterial small subunit ribosomal RNA
Source: RNAcentral